GCCCAAGAGAUCGGGAUAACACCUGGAAACAGAUGCUAAUACCGGAUAACAACAGAUGAUGCCUAUCAACUGUUUAAAAGAUGGUUCUGCUAUCACUCUUGGAUGGACCUGCGGUGCAUUAGCUAGUUGGUAGGGUAACGGCCUACCAAGGCGAUGAUGCAUAGCCGANGUUUGAGAGACUGAUCGGCCACAUUGGGACUGAGACACGGCCCAAACUCCUACGGGAGGCAGCAGGG
RNAcentral lists this ribosomal RNA (236 nucleotides) under uncultured Lactobacillus sp. RNAcentral describes it as "partial 16S ribosomal RNA". It matches the Rfam family "Bacterial small subunit ribosomal RNA", at positions 128 to 354 of the family's 1533-position model. The record is from RNAcentral. Lineage: Bacteria; Bacillati; Bacillota; Bacilli; Lactobacillales; Lactobacillaceae.